RNAcentral lists this long non-coding RNA (3958 nucleotides) under Homo sapiens (human). Its description in RNAcentral is "non-protein coding lnc-CEBPD-11:5". Lineage: Eukaryota; Metazoa; Chordata; Mammalia; Primates; Hominidae. The record is from RNAcentral.
AGUCGGGCCCGGAGCCCGGAAGGAGUGCCCCGCGGAGAGUCGAGCUUCCUUCCCCGGGGCUGGGGGUUCCGCGGAGCUCGCUCUGGGCUGUGGCGUUGCUCGCCCGCGAGCUCCUGGGGAGUUCGGGGGAGCUGCUGGGCUGGUGCCUGGAGCGGGGGCCGCCUCCAAGUAUUGUCUUUCGAAUUAAGUUACUGUCGUCUGUGUUGUCAGGCAACAACUGACCUUAAAUAAAAAUGAAAACCAGAAGUAGGCUACACAUGCAAUAGGCUACACAUGCAAUAAUGGAUACUUAAGGAAUGGGAGUGGCUGCUGGUGACUGGAGCAGAGAGGGUGUGGUUUCCCCAUGUUUCGGGGCCGGGGGGAAGGAGUAAAGUCUGUGUUCAGAGCCCAGACGCCAUGUCGGUCAUCACAUCACCGGGAGAACUCGUGGAGCCUGAGGAAAGGCUACGGGGUGCCAGAGUCUGAAGGGGCGGAAGAUUGCAUUCCUAUCACGUUCGCCGUGGCGCACAGGGGCUCCGCUGGGGCCGCCGCUCCCGCAGGAGAAGUGGGCCUGAGACGGUGCGGCGUCGACCAUAGCCGGCCCAGCAGAAGCCGGGGAAGGCCACAAGUGUAACUGGGUCCGAGUACUGUGAAGAAGGCGCCUCCCAUGGAGAAAGCUACCGGGUAGUUUAACAAGGUGGAAAAGCGUUGGCCUGGGGAGGAGGAAAGGAUGCUCAGAAAGUUGCCUCAAAAGGACGCAGAAGUGGAGGUGAAUCUUCUGUUUCAGAGGCAUUUUUUUGUGCCUCUGUGAGAAUGCAUUGCUUCCUGGUUGAUCCAUCUUCAGGUUUUCUCUCCGUCCUAGUCCCUGUUCUGCCACCAUUCUGUGUUUGAAUCUGGUACCUAAAGCCGCAGAUACUUGGUUCAUAGUAGAUGUCCACUCUGCAGUGGCUGAAAACACGGAAGAAAAACCAUCUUUGCCUGGGAAGGACAUUAUUGCUAGUGCCAUUACUGUCAACAGUUGGAACAAGAUAAACGGCAUGCCCAAUCUAGUUGAGGAUUUUGGACACCGGGCCUCCCACUGGGACUCCGCCGAGAAACCAGGUCUGCCAUUGCCACCUCCGCCGGGCCUUGCUGUCUUAGCACAGUAAGUGCACCCGACCGCGCCCGGAGUCCCCCUUUCACUCCCACAACCAGGCCUGUGGUGAGGCUCCCGCUUGUCAUCUCCACCAGGAGGUGCUGUCCUGCCGAAAUGUUGGGGUUUUUCUCCAAACUUCCUCCUGUUCAGAAUUCGCCAUCUCAGUAGUGGCAUGGACAUCCACCUGGCCACAGCUCACGCAGAAACCUAGGAAUUUUUGUGAACACGUUUGUGUGUCUUACUAAUGUGUCCACUCUCCACUACCACUGUUUCCCAGGCCACUAGUAUCUUUUGCCCAGACUGCUAGUAGCUCUUAACCCAUGUCCCCUAAUCCACUCUUGCCCCUCACACAGCACACACAUACAAUCCAUUCUCAACACAGACACCACAGUGAGGUUUAUGCUGUCUAUACUGGCCUUCCCUUUCGGUGGUCAAACGUGCCUAGCUCCUGCAGCCUUGGGGUCUAAUAAGCAUUUGCUCUUCCUUUUGCCUAAAAGGCUCUGGCCUCCCUCUGCCAUGCCAUUUCCUAUGCGCCUGUCAAACCUGAACCUGGUGGCCAGCUUCCCUAAACUAGCAAGCCUGAACCUCCCUGCUCUUCCAUGUCCGCAGGACCUCAUGCUCUGUUGAAGAUGUUAUAACAAUUAGAAUCUAAAUAAUUACGAAAGUUAUUUGUUUACCAUGUGGUUCCACCUCCAUGCUGUAAGGUAAUACCAUUUCUAUCUUCUCCGUUUUUGUAUCUCUAUCAGUUAGCACAGCGUCUUCCAUAUACAAAGUACUCAGUUAUUUACUAUGGAUGAACUGCUAAUUGUGAAACAGAAAUGACUUGCCAGAGGCUGCACAGCUAGUAACUGUUCAGGAUUAGAACUCAUAUGUGAUACCAAGGUCGAUGCAUUCUCCACUACACCAAUCAGAUCAUAGUAGAAUCAUGAGGAAUUUUUCACUUGAACAUAUGAACUCAGCAAAAGGGAACUGUUGAUAAUAAAGAUGAGCCCCUGCAGAAAGGGUCUCUUAAGUCCUCUCCAGUCUUGCCUCAUUUCCUCCUCAGCAAACACUCAAUGGCAAACAUCAAGACAAACCAGAAAGUCCUUCUUUUAACUUUUUUCUCAUCAAACUUUUUGGCCUAGUUGCUGUUCUGCAGAUAUCUGUGGUCUUCACUCUGCUUACAGCCAUCCUAAGGAUUCCAUGGAGAUCCAUGGAGUCUGGGGAGGGUGUGACUCACAGGAGGGUCUCUGCUGCACCUUCAGGGCAGCUCUCUUCCAUCUGUCUUAUAUAUGGGGCAAGAUUGUAUUUAAAGAAAGAUCUAAUAUGGGGAGAAAUGUUUAGAAUCUACUCAUCCAUAUUCUUUUUUAGUCUGGUAGAUGACAGUGCUCUAGGCUAUAAAUGAAUCCAAGAUUUAAACGUGAAAAAAUGUCAAGGUAUUAGAAUAAAACAUGACCAGAUUCCUUUAUAAUCUUAGAGUGGGGGAAAGGGGAGAAAGUCUUUCCAACUAUGACUCAAAAUGUCCUAGUCGUAAUAGGAAAGAUUGAUCGAUUCAACUACAUAAAAACCCUAAUUUAUGCAUGGCAAAAAAAACACAGUAGGCAAAGACAAAUGGCAAAAUUAAAGAAUAGUUCAUAUUGAUGUUAUAUAGAAACAGCCCCCUAAAGUAUAAAUUACUCUUGGAGGAGUAAGCAAGAGUAUUCCUUGGGGGAAACCCAGUAGAAAAUGGGCAAAGGACAAGGGCAGUUCACAGAGAAAGGAACACAAAUGGCUUUUAUACAUAUGAAAAAUGUACUGUCUCACUCAUGACAAGAGAAAUGCAAAUUUAAACUGCACACCUACCAUAUUGGCUAAAAUCUAAGUCCUGGACAACACAUAUUGGGGUAAGGGCCCUCUAAUGUAUUGCUAACAAAAGUACAAAAUUAUGCAACUCCUAUCAAAUAUGCUUCAAAAUUAUAAGUGUAUUUACUCUUUAAGCUAGCAGUCCUACUUCUGGAAACUAAUCCUACACAUACACCUGCACACAUAUUGUCUUAGUCUGUUUUGUGCUGCUAUAACAGAAUAUCUGAGACUGGGUAGUUUACAAAGAACAGAUACUUACUUUCUCACUCUGAGAAAUCUGAGAUCAAGGAGCUGGCAUUUGGUGUCUGGUGUGGGCCUUCCUGCUGCAUCUUCACAUGGCAGAAGGCAGAAGGGCAAGAAAGCAAGCUAGCUGAAUGCUGCGUGAAGCCUCUUAUAAGGGCCUUAAUCCUAUUAGUGAUGGAGGAGCCUUCAUGGCCUAUUUGGCAACACCUGAAUUUUAGAGGAUACACAUAUGAAAUGAUAACACAUGUGAAAUGAUAUGUAUGUAAGGGUAUUUUUUGCAGCAUAGUUUGCAAUAGCAAAAGACUAGAAAAAAUUGAUAUAUUUGUUUACUUGGAGAGUAAGGAGACUGUUAAAUGUGCCAUGGUAAUACCUUCAUAAUGAUCUCCAGCUUUACUAAAUGAAAAAAACAAUUGACAGAAUAUGAUUCAUAGUGUGCUGCCUCUCUAGUGCAAGAAAACAGGAAAAGACCAUAUAUUGCUUAUAUCUGCUUGAAGAAAUGCUACAUCGAAAUAGAUGUAUAGGAAAUAAAAGGGGUUACCUGGUGGAGGGGAGGAACCAAGUGAUUGGGAUGAGGGGAGGAGGACUUCUCCAUCUCUACUUUUUUAUGUUGUUUUGUAUACCUAUUUUUAAAACAGAUUGAAAAAUUAAGAAAAAUGUGUACUUUGUUCUAGAGUGAUGAUGGUUGUACAACUGUGAAUAUUGUAACAAAUCACUGAAUGGUACACUUUAAAGGGUGAUUUUAUGGUAUUUGAAUUAUAUUUCAAUAAAAUAAUUAUUUUA